AAUAAACGCUGGCGGCGUGCCUAACACAUGCAAGUCGAGCGAGAAAGUUCCUUCGGGAACAAGUAAAGCGGCGAACGGGUGAGUAACACGUGAGAAUUUACCCUUUAGUGAAGAAUACCUCUGAGAAAUCGGAGUUAAUGCUGCAUAAUCCCUCAAAAAGGGCAAAGGUGGCCUCUUGCUACCGCUAAAGGAUAAGCUUGCGCACUAUCAGUUUGUUGGUGGGGUAAUGGCCUACCAAGACUAUGACGGUUAACCGGCCUGAGAGGGUGUUCGGUCACAUUGGAACUUAGACACGGUCCAGACUCCUACGGGAGGCUG
Molecule: ribosomal RNA, 318 nt
Filed under: uncultured bacterium
Lineage: Bacteria
Description: bacterial SSU rRNA
Rfam family: Bacterial small subunit ribosomal RNA
Source: RNAcentral